UUAAUUAGAGGCUACGCGAAGAACCUUACNUACAGGGAUUGACAUGACGGUAGUAGUGAAGCGAAAGCGGAACGACCCUUCGGGGAGCCGUCACAGGUGAUGCAUGGCUGUCGUCAGCUCGUGCCGUGAGGUGUUUGGUUAAGUCCACUAACGAGCGCAACCCCUAGUGCCAGUUACAAGUGUCUGGCGCGACUGCCGGUAUUAAGCCGGAGGAAGGKGGGGAUGACGUCAAGUCAGCAUGUCCUUUAUACCCUGGGCGACACACMCGCUACAAUGGCCAGCACAAUGGGUCGCCAAGCCGUGAGGCGGAGCCAAUCCUAAAAAGCUGGUCUCAGUUCGGAUUGCANNGGCUGCAACCCGCCUGCAUGAAGUCGGAGUUGCUA
RNAcentral lists this ribosomal RNA (383 nucleotides) under uncultured bacterium. RNAcentral describes it as "bacterial SSU rRNA". It matches the Rfam family "Bacterial small subunit ribosomal RNA", at positions 946 to 1337 of the family's 1533-position model. The record is from RNAcentral.